This is an RNA transcript of Tympanuchus pallidicinctus (lesser prairie-chicken), 4773 nucleotides long. It is a transcript of the gene named synapsin II, with no coding region annotated. NCBI's taxonomy places the organism in Eukaryota, Metazoa, Chordata, Aves, Galliformes, Phasianidae. The record is from RefSeq and is a predicted model, not a curated record. The transcript is spliced from 12 exons.
GCCUCCCCACCCCGGUCGGCAGUGAGGCGGCGACCGAGCCCGGCUGCGGAUCGCAGAGCCCGCCGCGGCGCCCGCCGCCCUCCCGCCCGGCUCCGAGCCCUCGUCCAGCCGCCCUCCAGAGCCUCGCCUUUCUCCCGCCCGGCCAGAUGAUGAACUUUCUGCGGCGCAGGCUCUCGGACAGCAGCUUCAUCGCCAACCUGCCCAAUGGCUACAUGACGGACCUGCAGCGGCCGGACCCGCAGCAGCCGCCGCCGCCGCCGCCCUCGGCCUCCUCGGCGCCCGCCUCGGGCUCCCCGGCCGCGGAGCGCCGGCAGCCGCCGCAGUCGGCGCCCCCCCAGCAGCAGCCGCCGCCGCCGCAGCAGUCGGCGGGCAGCAGCUUCUUCAGCUCCCUGUCCAACGCCGUGAAGCAGACGGCGGCCUCGGCCGGGUUGGUGGACCCCACCUCCGCCUCGUCGGCCGCCGGCAGAAAGUUCAAGCUGCUGCUGGUCGUCGACGAGCCGCACACGGACUGGGCCAAGGCUUUUCGUGGAAAAAAGGUCCAUGGAGAAUAUGACAUUAAGGUUGAACAGGCAGAAUUCUCAGAAAUCAACUUGAUAGCCCAUGCUGAUGGCAAUUAUGCAGUAGAUAUCCAAGUAUUUCGGAAUGGCACUAAAGUUGUCAGGUCAUUCAAACCUGAUUUUGUCCUCGUUCGGCAACAUUCAUUCAGUAUGGCAGAAAAUGAAGAUUUCCGAAACUUGAUCAUUGGCCUGCAGUAUGCAGGCAUCCCCAGUGUCAACUCCUUGGAAUCAAUCUAUAACUUCUGUGACAAACCAUGGGUGUUUGCCCAGCUGGUGUCUGUCUACAAAACUCUGGGUCCGGAGAAGUUCCCGUUAAUUGAGCAAACGUUCUAUCCAAACCACAAGGAAAUGCUAACAAUGCCGACUUUUCCUGUUGUUGUGAAGAUUGGACAUGCUCAUUCAGGCAUGGGAAAGAUCAAGGUAGACAACCACUACGAUUUUCAGGACAUAGCCAGCGUGGUAGCACUUACUCAGACCUACGCCACUACUGAACCGUUCAUAGACUCCAAAUAUGACAUCAGGAUCCAAAAGAUAGGCAGUAACUACAAAGCAUACAUGAGGACUUCCAUAUCUGGAAACUGGAAGACAAACACAGGCUCUGCAAUGUUGGAACAAAUUGCUAUGUCAGAUAAGUACAAGCUUUGGGUUGACACCUGUUCUGAAAUAUUUGGUGGUUUGGACAUCUGUGCUGUUAAAGCUGUGCAUGGAAAGGAUGGAAAAGAUUAUAUUUUUGAGGUAAUGGACUGUGCAAUGCCUCUGAUCGGUGAGCAUCAGAUCGAAGACAGGCAACAUAUAACUGAAUUAGUUGUAAGCAAAAUGAACCAAAUGUUGUCCAAAACUCCUAUACCAUCUCCUCAGAGACCCACUGCCACUCAGCAGCCUCAGUGGAGUGUCUGGGAAGAAUACAUGCAUGAUCUCCCUGCAGAUAAGCUGAGUAAAGCUUGAUAACAGAAAGAGCUCCCAAAAUAUUUCAUAGAAGAGAAAAAACUGCUUAUGUCACCCAUAAGCAGUGUGACAGACUCCAGCAUCAGGACCGCGAUGAUCAGAAUAACUUAUUGUUUGUAGGACAGAAGCAGACAAUGUCUUCAAGAAUUCUGAGACUCCAUGGUGACUCACCUCAAGAACAAAGAAAAUGUACUUAAUUCUUAAGUAAUCAAGAGCAUUCCGAUGUAGAGUAUAUGUUCUCAGUAGAUUCUUCUGAGAAACAGCUUCCAUUUCUCACAUUUUUGGGAGUCUUCAAGAAGAUGUCUUCAAUCUGUUAUGUAGCAAAACUCAGUCUUUCAAAAUUAAAACGAGGAAUGAUCCUAUCACUAUGGAACACGCAAGUGUUGCCACAUAAACAGAUACAAACAUAGAGUCUAAGUUAGAUCUCUUUGUUUGGUCUUAGUGCUAUAAUUACAAUCAUAUAAAAACCUCUAUGUUUUUUCUAUUUCGUCAUAUUUUUCAUCUAUUUCUACUGAUUCUACUGAUUUUGCUUAUUUAAGCUGAACCUAAUAGAAUCAUCUUUUCUUGGAGGUUUUUCCUUCGCCUCCUUUCCUUUCCCCACUGUGCUGGGUGUUUCCCUUCUACUUUUGUGUUAUCAUUCUCUGUCGGCACUUGACUUUUUAAAUUUGAUUUCUCUGAAUUCUAAGUCAUAACCUGUUAGGCAAAGCCAUCUGGCUUUAUUCCACAUUUAACUUACAAGGAUUCUAUCUAUCUACCCAGUAGUCAUCACCAUAGUUUAUUGUGAAUAAGGACCACAUGCUAAAUAAGCAUUACAGGUUUUGAACAUGGGUAAUAACUACCAAGAGAAAUUACAGAACAAUCCAAAACAGUGCAACUCAUUUUCAGAUAUUCUUGAAUGAUCAGUUGGGAAAAAACAAGCAACCUCUCUGUUCCUCCACCACUCGUCUAGUGGUGGAUCAGUGCUUCAUCUGCCUAGCUGCCAGUAGUUCAAGCUUCUUUUCACCUGUUCAAAGAUUGUUCUCCAGUAUCUCCUAACUUGUAAGAGACUCAAGAAGGUUCUCAGAUUCCAACAAGUCACCAGCAGUGCCCACAUGUGGCUCUGUGCUUGUGCUGUAUCAGACAAAGCAAGGAAAGAAGCCCACACAACACUGGCAGACAGGUCUUACGUUCUGUUUGAGUUCUGAACUUCAGUCUUCUUUGGGGUAUGGCUCUUAGCUCACUGACUUGUCCUUUCCCAAGCCUUUUCCUGCUCCACCAUUCUGUAACACUGAUACAACAAUAUUCUGACAAACUACUCAUUUUAAGACCAGACGUGAGUUAGCUCCAUCUUUUUUCAGACCUUCUGUUUCAAAGCACAGAUUUCAAUUCUGAAUGGAUCCAGUAAUGAUGGAUCACUGUGACUCCAGGUUUUUACUCUUCCUGUCCAUGAAAGGAUCACUUGUCAUCUCAUAUUAAGAAGACCAGAGGAGCUGAUACAGCAUAGCAUCAGACAACAUCCCUGGGUCCCGAGCUUAGAACAUUCCUUACAGUUUCAAAUAAGAGCACAGGAUAUUGACACUAACAAGCUCUAAGCUACAGGUAUCUAUGUACACUGAGAAACAUUUAAGGAAGAUUAACUUUCCAGUAACUAGAUAGUCUUCUAGAUAUGCUGUACCACUUUCAUCUUCCUGUCCAUCUAUCUUACAGCUCUCUUUCUGUGGUAUAAAUAUGCACACUCAUUACAUUUCAGUUCCAGCUGCUUUAGCACACAGGGAGCUCUCUCCUAUCACAUAGUCCACAUUCCUUCUUUGUCUGUGGGGAGCAAUUUUUUACUGGGAAGAACUGCCUGACAGCUGCUUUGCAACAGCAUACUUUUAAUGAUCCCUUUUAGAAAACUGAAGUUGAAAUCUGGCUUCAUUAAGCAAUAGUUGCAAUAAAAUCAGAUUGCAUCCUUGUCCAUUAGAAUUACCAUCUGUCUCUGGAAUGGGACCAGUUAACUUCAACAAGUGUUGCUACUUGUUAAGAAACACUUUUUUUCUGACAAGUCGACAUCCUACAUUUUGUAUAGAAAUGUCAUGUUUUGUGGUAGUGAGAUAUUUCUUUUUUUCAGCAAAAUAAUAGAAAAUAGAUCUGGCAUAGGCAAUGUGAUGUCACCUGUUUCAUUGUCUAAGAGAAAAUAUUGAAGUGUGCCAUUAAAUAGCAGUGAAUCUACACUAGGAUAUUCUUUCUUCAGAGUAUGUGUAAAAAUACUCAGGAAGAAAACUCUUCUCUAGGAAGAAAUUAGUUAUCUAACAAUAGAAAGUACUUUGUAUACAAAACAUAAGCUAUAGUACUUUUUGAUGUUUAAAACCAAAACUUUUUCAGUGCAUGAUGUAAAUACUGUUCCAAGUAAAAAUUAAGCUGCAUAGCUUGUUUUCUCCUCUUAGCAGUCAUUUCCUUUCUCGUUCAGAGGAAGAUCUUACAGGUCUUUCAUUGAUAAUUCGGAAAGCUGGCUGAGCAACAACAAAAGCUGGUCUAAAGUUUUUAAUUCUGUAUCACAACUUCAAAAUGAAGAUGUUUUGUGCUGGCAUCAGUUUUGCUGAGAAUAUGUUUGGGGCAAGCUGAACACUGAAACUCCAAACAACUGUAAAAUGUGGGAGUGGGUUCUCCUUUCACUGGCCUCUUUGCACGAGGUGGUGAAAGUGGCUCCUUUCUGAGGUGUGCCUGACCACGCCUGUCUUACCAUUAGAAUCAGGCCUAUUUCACUGCCUGUCUCAGUCCACAAUGAAUAGCAAAAAGCUUUGUUGUCAUGUUAAGCUCCAAGGAAGCAUUUAUGAGUCACUUACACCACGUUCAUCCUGUAGAGAGUAAGGUCUGUUCUAGCAACUGGUGAGUACCCUUACCAUACACUGCACACUGAAGGUAGAAAACAGCAACAAGGUGCUAAGGAGUCUCUUAUUUUUUGAUUCUCCAUUUCACAAAGUCAAUUCAAGAUCUCAGUGUUUUGCUAAAUAAUACAGUAGGUGCUUAUUUACAACCCAGUUUUAUUCAGCUAAUGCCUGUUUCUUCUUGGUUCACAUUGUCCUUUAGUGCAGCUUGUUCCCUAUCUAGUGCUUUGCCAUUACAGUGCUGUAAAAAGAACUGUACUGCCUUCAAGCCUCUUUGGCUGAAUUAAGCCAGCUGAGUUCUUCCAAAUGCUCUAGCUAUGCACUCUUCCAUCUGCCUGCUCAGUUUAACAGUGCCUUUCUACAUCUGAUGAGCUUAUAUUCAUCUUUCUUUACCAGGGGUGAUGUUCUUCCAUUGUAAGGACUAA